Molecule: ribosomal RNA, 849 nt
Filed under: Pseudophaeophleospora atkinsonii
Lineage: Eukaryota; Fungi; Ascomycota; Dothideomycetes; Mycosphaerellales; Mycosphaerellaceae
Description: eukaryotic LSU rRNA
Rfam family: Eukaryotic large subunit ribosomal RNA
Source: RNAcentral
GAAACCAACAGGGAUUGCCCUAGUAACGGCGAGUGAAGCGGCAACAGCUCAAAUUUGAAAUCUGGCGCAAGCCCGAGUUGUAAUUUGCAGAGGAUGCUUCUAGGCAGCGGCCGUUCUAAGUUCCUUGGAACAGGACGUCAUAGAGGGUGAGAAUCCCGUAUGUGACCGGCACGCACCUUUUACGUAGCUCCUUCGACGAGUCGAGUUGUUUGGGAAUGCAGCUCUAAAUGGGAGGUAAAUUUCUUCUAAAGCUAAAUACCGGCCAGAGACCGAUAGCGCACAAGUAGAGUGAUCGAAAGAUGAAAAGCACUUUGGAAAGAGAGUUAAAAAGCACGUGAAAUUGUUGAAAGGGAAGCGCCUGCAACCAGACUUCGCGGCAGUGUUCCGCCGGUCUUCUGACCGGUUCAUUCUCUGUCGCGAGGCCAUCAUCGUCUGGGGCCGCUGGAUAAGACUGGAGGAAUGUAGCUCCCCUCGGGGAGUGUUAUAGCUUCCAGUGAUGCAGCGUGUCCCGGGCGAGGUCCGCGCUUCGGCUAGGAUGAUGGCGUAAUGGUUGUCGGCGGCCCGUCUUGAAACACGGACCAAGGAGUCUAACAUCUAUGCGAGUGUUCGGGUGUCAAACCCCUACGCGUAAUGAAAGUGAACGGAGGUGGGAACGUAAGUGCACCAUCGACCGAUCCUGAUGUCCUCGGAUGGAUUUGAGUAAGAGCAUAGCUGUUGGGACCCGAAAGAUGGUGAACUAUGCCUGAAUAGGGUGAAGCCAGAGGAAACUCUGGUGGAGGCUCGCAGCGGUUCUGACGUGCAAAUCGAUCGUCAAAUUUGGGUAUAGGGGCGAAAGACUAAUCGAACCAU